GACGAACGCUGGCGGCGUGCCUAAUACAUGCAAGUUGAGCGAUGAAGAUUGGUGCUUGCACCAAUUUGAAGAGCAGCGAACGGGUGAGUAACGCGUGGGGAAUCUGCCUUUGAGCGGGGGACAACAUUUGGAAACGAAUGCUAAUACCGCAUAACAACUUUAAACAUAAGUUUUAAGUUUGAAAGAUGCAAUUGCAUCACUCAAAGAUGAUCCCGCGUUGUAUUAGCUAGUUGGUGAGGUAAAGGCUCACCAAGGCGAUGAUACAUAGCCGACCUGAGAGGGUGAUCGACCACAGUGGGACUGAGACACGGCCCAAACUCCUACGGGAGGCAGCAGUAGGGAAUCUUCGGCAACGGACGAAAGUCUGACCGAGCAACGCCGCGUGAGUGAAGAAGGUUUUCGGAUCGUAAAACUCUGUUGGUAGAGAAGAACGUUGGUGAGAGUGGAAAGCUCAUCAAGUGACGGUAACUACCCAGAAAGGGACGGCUAACUACGUG
This 497-nucleotide ribosomal RNA is filed under the name uncultured bacterium. RNAcentral describes it as "partial 16S ribosomal RNA". It matches the Rfam family "Bacterial small subunit ribosomal RNA", at positions 28 to 507 of the family's 1533-position model. The record is from RNAcentral.